Molecule: long non-coding RNA, 478 nt
Filed under: Medicago truncatula (barrel medic)
Lineage: Eukaryota; Viridiplantae; Streptophyta; Magnoliopsida; Fabales; Fabaceae
Description: lncRNA gene343
Source: RNAcentral
UUCUUUGUUUCUCCAAGAUUCCAUUUCGAUUGUUCCAAAACAAAGGUUGUUUCUUUAACACUCUUUCUAUCAACUUGUUUUGUAAUCAACUUUUUUUCUAUCUUCUUCAUGUUUCUUAUUUUCACACUAAUUUUCUUUUUCUGUUAAGUUCUGAUUAGUAUUCAGAUGAAGUGAUUUUUUUUUUUUCCAAUGUUCUUUUGGCUCGUUAUUUUUUUAUUAUUUUGAACUCUGAUUGUGUAAAAUAGUUGAUUGAAUAUGAUUAAUUUUGCAUGUUUUUGUGAUAUAUCUAUGAUUAUGAGAAGAUUGAGUAGAGUUUGAUUGUGCUGAUGAUAGCUUAAUUUACUGUAAUGUUAUGCAUGUAUCUGUUGACUUUCUUGUUGGUGGUUGAUGAGGGCUAGACAUGCUUGACAUGAUUGUUUGAAAUCUUGUAUUUGUUACUUCUUAGAGUGGAAAAGAUAGUUUUUUUAAGCUCAGUUUA